RNAcentral lists this ribosomal RNA (274 nucleotides) under uncultured bacterium. RNAcentral's name for it is "partial 16S ribosomal RNA". It matches the Rfam family "Bacterial small subunit ribosomal RNA", at positions 523 to 796 of the family's 1533-position model. The record is from RNAcentral.
AUACGGAGGGUGCAAGCGUUACUCGGAAUCACUGGGCGUAAAGCGCGCGCAGGCGGCCAUUUAAGUUGGAUGUGAAAGCCUACGGCUCAACCGUAGAACUGCAUCCGAAACUAUUUGGCUAGAGUGUGGGAGAGGAAGAUGGAAUUAGUUGUGUAGGGGUAAAAUCCGUAGAGAUAACUAGGAAUACCAAAAGCGAAGGCAAUCUUCUGGAACAUUACUGACGCUGAGGCGCGAAAGCGUGGGGAGCAAACAGGAUUAGAUACCCCAGUAGUCC